GGAGUAAAAGUCGUAACAAGGUUUCCGUAGGUGAACCUGCGGAAGGAUCAUUACUGAGUGAGGGCCCCUCGGGGUCCAACCUCCCACCCGUGUUUAACGAACCUUGUUGCUUCGGCGGGCCCGCCUCACGGCCGCCGGGGGGCAUUUGCCCCCGGGCCCGCGCCCGCCGAAGCCACCUGUGAACGCUGUCUGAAGUAUGCAGUCUGAGACAAUUAUUAAAUUAAUUAAAACUUUCAACAACGGAUCUCUUGGUUCCG
This 257-nucleotide unclassified non-coding RNA is filed under the name plant metagenome. Its description in RNAcentral is "partial contains small subunit ribosomal RNA, internal transcribed spacer 1, and 5.8S ribosomal RNA". The stretch from base 1 to 53 matches the Rfam family "Eukaryotic small subunit ribosomal RNA", at positions 1779 to 1831 of the family's 1831-position model. The record is from RNAcentral.